RNAcentral lists this transfer RNA (87 nucleotides) under Deltaproteobacteria bacterium. Its description in RNAcentral is "tRNA-Leu". It matches the Rfam family "tRNA". From Rfam's summary of the family: Transfer RNA (tRNA) molecules are approximately 80 nucleotides in length. Their secondary structure includes four short double-helical elements and three loops (D, anti-codon, and T loops). Further hydrogen bonds mediate the characteristic L-shaped molecular structure. tRNAs have two regions of fundamental functional importance: the anti-codon, which is responsible for specific mRNA codon recognition, and the 3' end, to which the tRNAs corresponding amino acid is attached (by aminoacyl-tRNA synthetases). tRNAs cope with the degeneracy of the genetic code in two manners: having more than one tRNA (with a specific anti-codon) for a particular amino acid; and 'wobble' base-pairing, i.e. permitting non-standard base-pairing at the 3rd anti-codon position. The record is from RNAcentral. Lineage: Bacteria; Pseudomonadati; Myxococcota; Myxococcia. RNAcentral also lists the same sequence under 2 other names.
GCGGCGGUGGCGGAACUGGUAGACGCGUCAGCUUGAGGGGCUGGUGGGGGCAACCCCGUGGAGGUUCGAGUCCUCUUCGCCGCACCA